RNAcentral lists this ribosomal RNA (468 nucleotides) under uncultured bacterium. Its description in RNAcentral is "partial 16S ribosomal RNA". It matches the Rfam family "Bacterial small subunit ribosomal RNA", at positions 28 to 507 of the family's 1533-position model. The record is from RNAcentral.
GACGAACGCUGGCGGCGUGCUUAACACAUGCAAGUCGAACGGACAGGCCCUGCUUUUGUGGGGUGCUCGAGAGGCGAACGGGUGAGUAAAACGUGAGUAACCUGUCCUUGACUUUGGGAUAACUUCAGGAAACUGGGGAUCAUAUAGGAUAGGAGAUCUUGCUGCACGGUGGGGGAUGGAAAGUUUCGGCGGUUGGGGAUGGACUCGCGGCUUAUCAGCUAGUUGGUGGGGUAGUGGCUUACCAAGGCUGUGACGGGUAGCCGGCCUGAGAGGGUGACCGGCCACAUUGCGCCUGAGGUACGGCCCAGACUCCUACCGUAGGCAGCAGUGGAGAGUAUUGCACAAUGGGCGGAAGCCUGAUGCAGCAACGCCGCGUGCGGGAUGACGUCCUUCGGGUUGUAAACCGCUUUCGCCUUUGACGUGGCGUGAUUGACGGUACUGGGUAAAGAAGCACCGGCUAACUACGUG